AAUACUGGGAACGUUUCUUGUAUACUGGUAUGUCUCAUAAUCUACCAGUAAAGAAUAACAAGACUUCUUCCUGUUGCCCAAAGACAGCGGGUGUUUCUUAACACCAAGAACGCAAAGAUCACACUUGUCGCUUGCCAUCCAAGAAUAGACCUGGGGAGCAAUGCAUCGUGGGAUUGGUCUCGUUUGGCGAAGACGCAGCCGAUGUAUCCUUCAUAUUUGGAAGGGAGCAAGAUCAACAUCUGGGGAUUUUUACCAUCCUCAGUACUUCUGAUCUUGAGUAUUGGAACUGGUCUUUGGCACUGGAAGAUGACAUCACAGAGUUGGCCUAACAGCAUGUCCUUGUCCGUUUGGAGAAAAUCCCACCAAAUACCUAACAGAGGCAGGGUUCAACACCAAACCCCAGAUGUGUGCUGCCGUCUGAUCCACAAAUCUGCGCAUUCCUGCUUCGCUAAACC
Molecule: long non-coding RNA, 455 nt
Organism: Brienomyrus brachyistius
Lineage: Eukaryota; Metazoa; Chordata; Actinopteri; Osteoglossiformes; Mormyridae
Exons: 3
Source: RefSeq, a predicted model, not a curated record